Molecule: long non-coding RNA, 1068 nt
Organism: Anguilla rostrata (American eel)
Lineage: Eukaryota; Metazoa; Chordata; Actinopteri; Anguilliformes; Anguillidae
Exons: 2
Source: RefSeq, a predicted model, not a curated record
GAGUCAGGCAAUAUUUAGCGGCACAUGAGAGAAAGUUGUCGUAUUGGAGGACCCUUCAACUCAAAUAAAAUGGCUGCACACGGGACGGCGAAAAGUUGGUUUUGUAAGUUGGGAAGGAGCGUAUGCCAGAAAUUCAAAACCAAUCGUUAGUUGUCAUACAAAAGUAACAUUAGGCAUUUGUGAAGUUAUUGUCAGUGUCCCGUGUCCCGAAAUGAGACGUCAGUUGUGCGGACACCUGUACGACAAACAGCAAAAUCAAUUAAGCGCGGUGCGAUAAAUAGGCUGUAAAAAUGUAUAGCCUAAAAUAAUAGGUCGUGCGUGUGCGCGCGCGCGCUUUACUGGCUCGUCAGGUGGCUGCACCUCAGAGGAACUUGCAAAGCCGCACCACUGGGUGGCAUGACGGCGCGUAAUAAGCGGCGCAACCACCUCUCCUCUCCCCCUCCUCCCGCUGCCUUUGUGCCUGGUUUCAUGGUGUCUCUCGAGAAUGCAUGGAGGAGCUGAAGUCUGGAAUCACACUGCGGCCCUCCAGGACUGGAGUUAAACCUGUAGACGCUGUGGCCCUCCAGGACUGGAGGUGAACCUGCUGACACUGUGGCCCUCCAGGACUGGAGUUAAACCUAUAGACGCUGUGGCCCUCCAGGACUGGUGUUAAACCUGUAGGUGCUGCGGCCCUCCAGGACCAGAGUUAAACAUGCAGACGCGGUGGCCCUCCAGGACUGGAUUCUGAUACCUGAGCUUUAGAGCAUGAAACCUCAUGUUGCUCUACACAUAAUAGCCAGUAGGGGGGAGUGUUUCUGAUGACAUUCUGGACCCUUUGAUGGCUCAGAUGUUUAAAGAACCGUGUGGAGUUUUUAAGAGGCUCCAGCUCGACCAGUGACCCUUUGCUCUCUUUCUCCUGCCUGCUGAAGAAGGAGGAGCCUCUUUUGUGGGAUUUAAGGCUCCUGGGAGGCUUUGAAGACCACUGAAUUAUCCCAAUGCAUCAUGACAUGUUUGGAGCUCAUUAAAGCCAAUUUAUGUGUCUCAGUGCAAAUGGACAAUGUAUCAGUAAAGACUUCAUUUUUUCACAGA